RNAcentral lists this ribosomal RNA (229 nucleotides) under uncultured bacterium. RNAcentral describes it as "partial 16S ribosomal RNA". It matches the Rfam family "Bacterial small subunit ribosomal RNA", at positions 568 to 796 of the family's 1533-position model. The record is from RNAcentral.
AGUGUAGGCGGUUUGGCAAGUCGAGUGUGAAAUCCCAGGGCCCAACCCUGGAACUGCACUCGAUACUGCUUGACUAGAGUCCCGGAGAGGGUGGCGGAAUUCCCGGUGUAGAGGUGAAAUUCGUAGAUAUCGGGAGGAACACCAGUGGCGAAGGCGGCCACCUGGACGGUGACUGACGCUCAGACCCGAAAGCGUGGGGAGCAAACAGGAUUAGAUACCCUGGUAGUCC